RNAcentral lists this ribosomal RNA (752 nucleotides) under uncultured bacterium. RNAcentral describes it as "bacterial SSU rRNA". It matches the Rfam family "Bacterial small subunit ribosomal RNA", at positions 8 to 796 of the family's 1533-position model. The record is from RNAcentral.
AGAGUUUGAUCAUGGCUCAGAACGAACGCUGGCGGCAUGCCUAACACAUGCAAGUCGAACGUGAUCCGCAGCUUCGGUUGCGGUGAAAGUGGCAAACGGGUGAGUAACGCGUGGGAACCUGCCCAGAGGUAGGGAAUAACUGCGGGAAACUGCGGCUAAUACCCUAUGUGUCCUGAGGGACAAAGAUUUAUCGCCUUUGGAGGGGCCCGCGUCGGAUUAGGUAGUUGGUGGGGUAACGGCCUACCAAGCCAUCGAUCCGUAGCUGGUCUGAGAGGAUGAUCAGCCACACUGGGACUGAGAUACGGCCCAGACUCCUACGGGAGGCAGCAGUGGGGAAUAUUGGACAAUGGGGGCAACCCUGAUCCAGCGAUGCCGCGUGAGUGAUGAAGGCCUUCGGGUUGUAAAGCUCUUUCGGCGGGGAAGAUGAUGACGGUACCCGCAGAAGAAGCCCCGGCUAACUUCGUGCCAGCAGCCGCGGUAAUAGGAAGGGGGCUAGCGUUGUUCGGAAUUACUGGGCGUAAAGGGCGCGUAGGCUGUGCUGUAAGUCAGGCGUGAAAUCCCCGGGCUCAACCUGGGAAUUGCGUUUGAUACUGCGGCGCUGGAAUGCAGGAGAGGAUGGCGGAAUUCCCAGUGUAGAGGUGAAAUUCGUAGAUAUUGGGACGAACACCGGGCGAAGGCGGCCAUCUGGCCUGUAAUUGACGCUGAGGCGCGAAAGCGUGGGGAGCAAACAGGAUUAGAUACCCUAGUAGUCC